GAUGAACGCUGACAGAAUGCUUAACACAUGCAAGUCGAUGGGGAAGUGGUGCUUGCACCAUGGCAACCAUGGCGGACGGGUGAGUAACGCGUAAGGGACUUACCUGCAGGAAUGGGAUAACAGGGGGAAACUCCUGACAAGACCGGAUAAUGUCAUGGAGCUGCAUGGCUUUAUGAUGAAAGGAGACGCCUGCGGAGAGCCUUGCGUCCUAUUAGCUAGUUGGUGAGGUAAUGGCUCACCAAGGCGAAGAUAGGUAGCCGGCCUGAGAGGGUGGACGGCCACAAGGGGACUGAGAUACGGCCCUUACUCCUACGGGAGGCAGCAGUGGGGAAUAUUGGACAAUGGGGGCAACCCUGAUCCAGCAAUUCUGUGUGCACGAAGAAGGUUUUCGGAUUGUAAAGUGCUUUCAGCAGGGAAGAAGUAAGUGACGGUACCUGCAGAAGAAGCGACGGCUAAAUACGUG
RNAcentral lists this ribosomal RNA (463 nucleotides) under uncultured bacterium. RNAcentral describes it as "partial 16S ribosomal RNA". It matches the Rfam family "Bacterial small subunit ribosomal RNA", at positions 28 to 507 of the family's 1533-position model. The record is from RNAcentral.